AUUGAACGCUGGCGGCAUGCUUUACACAUGCAAGUCGAACGGCAGCACAGGGAGCUUGCUCCUGGGUGGCGAGUGGCGAACGGGUGAGUAAUGUAUCGGAACGUGCCUGGUAGUGGGGGAUAACUACUCGAAAGAGUGGCUAAUACCGCAUGAGAUCUUUGGAUGAAAGCCGGGGACCUUCGGGCCUCGUGCUACUGGAGCGGCCGAUAUCAGAUUAGGUUGUUGGUGGGGUAAAGGCCUACCAAGCCUGCGAUCUGUAGCUGGUCUGAGAGGACGACCAGCCACACUGGGACUGAGACACGGCCCAGACUCCUACGGGAGGCAGCAGUGGGGAAUUUUGGACAAUGGGCGCAAGCCUGAUCCAGCAAUGCCGCGUGCAGGACGAAGGCCUUCGGGUUGUAAACUGCUUUUGUACAGAACGAAAAGUCUCUGGCUAAUAUCUAGAGAUCAUGACGGUACUGUAAGAAUAAGCACCGGCUAACUACGUG
RNAcentral lists this ribosomal RNA (488 nucleotides) under uncultured bacterium. RNAcentral describes it as "partial 16S ribosomal RNA". It matches the Rfam family "Bacterial small subunit ribosomal RNA", at positions 30 to 507 of the family's 1533-position model. The record is from RNAcentral.